UCCAAGGUAGCCUAGUGGUCAUGGCAUCUGCCCGGUAAGCGGAAGGUCGUGGGUUCGAUUUCCAUCCCUUGAAA
This 74-nucleotide transfer RNA is filed under the name Cordylochernes scorpioides. RNAcentral describes it as "tRNA-Thr". It matches the Rfam family "tRNA". Rfam says of the family: Transfer RNA (tRNA) molecules are approximately 80 nucleotides in length. Their secondary structure includes four short double-helical elements and three loops (D, anti-codon, and T loops). Further hydrogen bonds mediate the characteristic L-shaped molecular structure. tRNAs have two regions of fundamental functional importance: the anti-codon, which is responsible for specific mRNA codon recognition, and the 3' end, to which the tRNAs corresponding amino acid is attached (by aminoacyl-tRNA synthetases). tRNAs cope with the degeneracy of the genetic code in two manners: having more than one tRNA (with a specific anti-codon) for a particular amino acid; and 'wobble' base-pairing, i.e. permitting non-standard base-pairing at the 3rd anti-codon position. Lineage: Eukaryota; Metazoa; Arthropoda; Arachnida; Pseudoscorpiones; Chernetidae. The record is from RNAcentral.